UACGUAGGAGGCGAACGUUAUUCGGAUUUACUGGGCGUAAAGGGAGCGUAGGCGGUUCCUUAAGUCAGGUGUGAAAACUUCUGGCUCAAUCAGAAGGCGUCAUUUGAUACUGAGGGACUUGAGAGCAGCAGAGGGAAAUGGAAUCCCCAGUGUAGCGGUGAAAUGCGUAGAUAUUGGGGAGAACACCAGUGGCGAAGGCGAUUUCCCAGGUUGUUUCUGACGCUGAGGCUCGAAAGCGUGGGGAGCGAAGCGGAUUAGAUACCCGCGUAGUCCACGCCCUAAACGGUGGACACUAGAUAUAGGGAGUAUCGACCCUUUCUGUGUCGAAGCUAACGCUUUAAGUGUCCCGCCUGGGGAGUACGGCCGCAAGGCUGAAACUCAAAGGAAUUGACGGGGGCCCGCACAAGCAGCGGAGCGUGUGGUUUAAUUCGAUGCUACGCGAAGAACCUUACCAGGGCUUGACAUGACAGAAGUAGGAAUCCGAAAGGACGACGACCUGUAUCCAAUCAGGAGCUGUCACAGGUGCUGCAUGGCUGUCGUCAGCUCGUGCCGUGAGGUGUUGGGUUAAGUCCCGCAACGAGCGCAACCCUUGUCCUAUGUUAAAUUCUCAUAGGAGACUGCCUUGUACAGCAAGGAGGAAGGAAAGGAUGACGUCAAGUCAGCAUGGCCUUUAUGUCCUGGGCUACACACACGCUACAAUGGGUGAUACAGAGGGUUGCCAAGGAGCGAUCCGGAGCUAAUCCCUAAAAAUCAUCCUCAGUUCGGAUUGCAGGCUGAAAUCGCCUGCAUGAAGGCGGAGUUGCUAGUAACCGCAGGUCAGCUACACUGCGGUGAAUACGUUCUCGGGCCU
Molecule: ribosomal RNA, 850 nt
Filed under: uncultured bacterium
Lineage: Bacteria
Description: SSU rRNA
Rfam family: Bacterial small subunit ribosomal RNA
Source: RNAcentral